This 974-nucleotide long non-coding RNA is filed under the name Sus scrofa (pig). Its description in RNAcentral is "lncRNA (ENSSSCG00035051610.1, ENSSSCG00055000080.1, ENSSSCG00065012071.1)". The record is from RNAcentral. Lineage: Eukaryota; Metazoa; Chordata; Mammalia; Artiodactyla; Suidae.
AUGGUCUCUACUUUUGAAGAGUUUAAGUUUAGCAACAUAUGCAAAAUAAUGCUUGGUGUGACACAGACCAUAUCCUCCAAGAGUGGGAGAGCAGAUUGCUGACAGAAGUACAAAGUGGGCUGGAUUCACAAUGCUGGCAAUGUUCAUACACUGGUGUCAAGGUCCCACUGGGGAAAGAAUGGACAUGGAGACUUGAAGAUUUCCUGGGUGGAUGCUUUAAGAAGAAAGUAUUUGCCAAGUGAGUUAUGGAGUCUAUGGAAUACGUACAGUAGGAGCUGGGAGAACAUGCUUGAAAAUGAACGUUAAAAUAUUAGACUGUGAUAAGGGAUGGGGAAUGGGAUAUAAGGCAAGAAAAGGCAGAGUAUAUUGAUAUGAGGAACUCUCCUAAGAUUCAGUAUUAAGUUCCCAGAAGAAACUCUGACUGCCCAUGGUGAAUGAAGUGCAUUUGCUAGAACGUCCUUGGAAAAUAUUAAAGAAGGGAUUAAUAGUUUAAGUUAUGUUGGUAUGUUAGAAUAGCUUUACUUUGUAAUACUAGAUAAUUAAUUAGCUAUGUUCUCUAGUGUGGUUCAGAGGGUAUGCCCUUCUCUAAAGUAAUAGAGAAUGGGAUAGUAAAGGGCACAUCAAUAUUGUUAAGUAGGUGCUAUAUCCUGCAGACUAGUUUAUGGUGGGGAAUGAGAAUUAUGGUAAUUUGUAAUUGUGGAUGUCAUGUAACAAUGCUUCACUAGCAGAUAUAUGGAUAUAAUUCUUGUAGUAGGCGGUAAGGUGAGAGUAACAACCAGGAGGCCUUGAUCUUUUUUUUUUUUUCAGUGAAAAAUCAACAAGAAAUGUUUUUAUUUAAAAAAAUCAGAUAGAGUUAUUGUAGGUAAAUAAUAAGGGGGACUCAAGCAACCUUUCAAAAGGGGCCACACAAUUUGUCACCUGAAGAUUGAAAGUCUUGUGGGUUGUUAAUAAAGUAACUCCAUUUUAUAUUGACA